AAGGGGUGGUUGGAAGUCCCUCUUGGGGACUCAGGUUUUUGGGAGGGCUGUUGUGUUUCUGUAUUACCUUUUCCCUUGUCUAUUUCUGUCUAUAACUGCAUGGACUGUAAAUCUCUGCUUGUGUAUGCUGCUAAGCUGUAAAUAAAAGCUUCAUUCAAUUCCCAGAACCGGCUGAGUCUAGUCUGGGUGAUUUCCAAAGUGUGAGGGGGCAAGGAACACCCAAACCACCACAUCCUGAAAGGAUUUAGAUAACCUCUUUAAGCAUUUUGGAAGGGUUUUGAACACAAACGUUCAGGCAUUGUGGUGGAGCCCCUGGUGCUGCACUGGCUUUGAACUGUGGGAAGCUCUGCCUGCACUUGGGCAUUGAUGUGGUUACUCAGGUGGCACAGAGAGUGGCACUGCAGAAUCAUUAUCCUCCUUUGUGUCCUCAUUGUUCUUGUUCUUCCUUCUCUUUCUCUCCCUGAGACUGCACUUCAGCUCCUCCAAACUUGUUAUCCAGGGUAUUCUCCUCCAGGCUCGCAUCCAGGGGCCACUGUCUGGCCAUGCUGGCGCGCUAGAUCAGUUCUGGGGACCUGAUGGCUUCCUGGGGACUCUUGCGGACACAGAGGCACAGCAGUGACUCCUGUCCCCCACCAGAACAGCCUCACAGAAGGACCGAGACAGAAGAUGGGAGAAGCAGAACCAUCCAGGAAAUAAGAUGGAGCAGCCAAAGUAUUGUAAGAAAGAGGGAGAGGACAAAAUGGAGGAUCACAACGAGGUGGAAAUUGAUGGCUCUGGUGAUGACAAAUAUGAGGAGAAAGAGGAUGAUGAAAAUGAAGAUGACCAAGAAGAGGAGGGGGAUGAAGCCAUGGGCAAACUUCACAGUUCUGCAGACCGCAGCAAGAGCUUCAGCAACAGGAGCUCUCUGAUCGUCCAGCAUCGCACCCAUACUGGUGAGAAGCCUUUCACCUGCCCUGACUGCAGCAAGAGUUUCAGCGAGAGCACUGCCCUCACCCGGCACCGCCACAUCCACACUGGUGAGAAGGUCACCUGCCCCGACUGCGGCAAGCGCUUCAGCCGCAUUGACACCCUCCGCAACCACCGCCGCAUCCACACCGGAGAGAAGCUGUUCCCCUGUGCUGAGUGCGGCAAGAGCUUCACCCUGAGCACCACAUACAUCCAGCACCAAUUCGUCCACAGCGGUGAGAAACCCUACAGCUGCACCGACUGCGGCAAGAGCUUCACCUUCAGCUCCGCGCUGGCUUCCCACCGUCGUGUCCACACUGGACUUGUGCUGUUGGAUCUGCGCCGUGGGAUCCUCCCACUGAUCUGUGCCAUUGGGACCUGCACGGCUGGACUGCGAGACCUGUGCCACGAGACCCAUGCCGCUGAUUCAAUGAUGACCUGCUGGACCCCCUCCCGACCCGACCCCCAUCCUGCUGCGACAGCAAAGCUGUUUUUCUGAAGAGAAAAAGAUUCUGCCGAGCGGAAGGAAGGCGGCAAAGUGGGCACUGAUCCCCACCGGCUGCAGCAGCAAAGUGUGAGAAGAUGCCAGUUGCAGAGGCUACCGGAUGGGUACCAUCAGCAUCCUACACUGAAAGAAUCUAUGAGAGAAUCUACAGUACAUGAGCACGAACCCAAUGUCACGUGGGAGUCCCUGUUCUGGUCUCACCUGUGAGGAGACAAACUGUUCUGAGCUUUUGAAUCACCUACAUCUGAGAUAGCUGGAAUGAAGUGUGAACUGACCUUGCUGAUAUCCAUUAGUGUAAAUAUUGGUUUAGAUUAGAUCAGAUAAUUCUCAGCGAUCCUCUGAGUGAAGUAGACAGGGGUGGAUUGUGCUAGUUUGAAGCAGGGUAGAAUGGUUUGGUGAGAAAAAGUAGACCAUAGGCUGUGAAAAGGAAAACAGUGGUGAUGUCUGUUUCCCUCAGAGUUUCGCUGAAGAAGAAUGUAAGCAUUAGAUAGCACUCUUGGGCUGGGCUUUGACUGAGCUGCAUCUCCCUAACAUCUCCUGCCACUCAUCUUUGCUUCUUAACCUCUUGGCUGAACCUCUAUUCUUCUUUAGGUCUGGGGUGAGGUUGAGAGAGGCAGGGGGAAGGUGCAGGGGUGGUUGAGAGCCUCUCCUGGGGACUCAGGUUUUUGGGAGGGGAGUUGUGUUUCUGUAUUACCUUUUACUUUGUAUUUUUCUGUCUAUAACUGUAUCUACUGUAAAUAUCUGCUUGUAUAUUGUGCUAGCUGUAAAUAAAUAGCUUCAUUUAUAUUCUCA
Molecule: RNA transcript, 2242 nt
Organism: Pogoniulus pusillus (Red-fronted tinkerbird)
Lineage: Eukaryota; Metazoa; Chordata; Aves; Piciformes; Lybiidae
Gene name: gastrula zinc finger protein XlCGF49.1-like
Exons: 4
Source: RefSeq, a predicted model, not a curated record